RNAcentral lists this long non-coding RNA (2714 nucleotides) under Trifolium pratense (red clover). RNAcentral describes it as "long non-coding RNA (TPRA_LNC008013)". The record is from RNAcentral. Lineage: Eukaryota; Viridiplantae; Streptophyta; Magnoliopsida; Fabales; Fabaceae.
AUUUUCUUCUAAAACUACACAAAUUAUUUGUUACUUAAGUGCUUACAUAAAAAUUAACAUCAUCCAUUCCCUCACUAGAUUUUGUUUUCCAGACGUUGUUUCCAUCACUUAAAUUAUCACUAAGACUAUCAUCAGGUACGUACGCAAUUAACAAUUCCUUUUUUUUUUUCUUUCUUUUUUCCCAAUAGUCAGAAAUCUUCAUUAAUUUGUACCUUAGAUUGAUUUGUUAUUAUUCUACCAAACAUCAAUCAGUAUUAAAAAUAUUUUAAUCAUAUGUCUAGAUUAAUUUUUUGUUAUUGUUGUGAUGAAUUUUGAGUAAGAUGGCAUGAUUUAGGUAUAAAGGAAAGGUAGAGAAUGGAAUUGGUGAUAUCGCUACCAUUAAUAGUGUUAAUCUUGAUAUUGGCUUUAGCAUGCUACCUUUUGGGGAGGUGCAGGGGUAGUAAACAAUCAAUUUCUCAUCCACAACAGUUUGGGCCUCCAGCUCCUCCACCACAAGCCCAACCAUGAUAACAAAAGGCCCAAAAUUGUUUUAGAUUAUUAUUAGUAUAUGGUUAUUGGACUUUGAAAACUAACUAUUAUAUGUAAUUGUAAAUAAUUAUCUAGUAAUACUAUGUUAAUGCUAUAUUCAUGUAGAAUUGAGCAACACAGAAGGAGAAAAAUUGUCGUAAUACGAUUGAUAUUUAUUAUUGUUACUCAUUCAUGACUUUAUCUUGAAUGUAUAGUUGAAAAAUUUAAUUUUGUUUUCCCAUUAACAGUAUGUUGAAUACUUGAAUGGUUGUUGUUUUGGGAUUAGAUUCAAGAUUAAGACAUGAAUGAGUAACAAUAUAAUAUGUAGUUUUGUUUUUUGGUUACAUGAUAAAAGCAAAAAGAAAAAAGAAAAAGUAAAAGAAAAAACUAUUGGCCGCGAAAAUAAUUGACAUCCAUACUAUCCGCCAUAAGUAGUAAACGGAGUUCAGCUGGAGGAUCAAGAACCAUCAAUAGUUUGCUCAUAGAUCUUGUCCCAAACUUUGCUAAAGAGUCAACACACAUAUUACCCUCUUUGAGUGAGUGACACACAGUGGCGGAACUAGGGGAGGGCUGAGGCGGGCUGCGGCCCUCCCCCAAAAAAUAGGAAAUUACUAAUAUACCCUUGGUAUUUUCAUAAAAUUACAUUAGUAUAAUACUAUAUAUAUUUGUGAAGGUAAUUAGAAAUGGAAGUGCAGCGUUAGCCUAGCUGGUAGAGGUUUCAAUGCCUAAUGCAUUGGAUUUGAAGGUCAUGGGUUCGAACCAUGCCUUCUUUGGUUUUGCUUUUUUUUUAUAUCAAAAAUCAACUUUAACACACAUUCUUGAGGAUAAAUGUCGUCUUAAACAUGUAAAUACAUAAUUUUGAGAUUAAUGUUUUUCUUAUGAUAUAUCAAUUCACAAUUUUUAUUUUUACCAAAAAAAAUAAAACACAACUAUUUUUAAUUUAUUUAAUUCGUGUGUAAUUAUUAUCUUAUAUUUAUUAAUGAAUAAAUUUCAAUCUAAUUUUUUUUUAUUGUCUAAUUAAGCAAGCAUUAGUUCAAAGUCAACUAUUGAUGAUUUCAAGUCAUUUGACAUACACAGUGUAUUAUUUUUUGGUAUGUAAUUUAAUUUUUUAAUUAUCAAAUUAUUGCUUAUUAUGACUUAAAUUUUUAUACACAAUAUAAUUUUUUUUAUUUAAUUUAUAUAUUAUAAAAAUUUUUAACGGCCCACCCAAAGAAAAAUUCCUAGUUCCGCCACUGGUGACACAGUUAAAAGAUCCAAUCAUUAGCCAUAUUUUUUUUAUUAUAGUUAUCUCGUUCCCGUAGUGAUGAGUGGAAACGUCAGCGCGAUGUACCAGAUGAAUAGUAUGCAUAUAGAAUAGAAUUAAUGUAGCAAAUAAUGUUUAUAAAACCUUUAUUCCAGCAAAUCUGAAUCUCGUGCAUCAGGUCCAAGAUUUCAGCAUUAAGAAUAUUCGAGUAUAACCAAUAUUCCCAUGGAAACCACUAAUAAAGCUUCCAUUGGAAUCUCUCUCUGAUUAAACCUCCAAACCCAGCUAUUCCCGGGUUAGUUAGUUUGCGCGCUCCCAUCCACAUUAAGAACAUAUGAAUCAGGGUUGCCUUUUUGCCGGGCAAUAAGUUGGGGUUGAUGGUUUGUAUUCUCCUUAUAUGCAACGCUGAAAGCAUGAGUAACAUCUCUAGUCAUAGCCUUAAUUGAUUUUUGAUAAUAAUUAAGUCAUAAGAGGUGUGUUGUUAUGAUUAUGAUAAAAAAUCUUUGAAUUUCUAGCACAUCAAAUGGUCCACAUGGUAAUAAGGAUCAUAAUACCAAUCUUAUCAAUAUUGUCAUGAAGAACGACAUUAGGACCCACCCAUAGUCAAGUUCCAAUUGGCCCUUGCUCGAUUACAACAAAAACAAUGAACCAAAAUUUCCGGCUCAUUUUCACACAGGGCAUGUGGUGUCCAAGGGGAUACACCUCUAUGAGUCAGGGUAACACGGUGCAACGCUUGGCAAAGAAAGAAUUUAAUAUUGGCUGGUAAUUUGAAGCCGAUCCAUAACCAUUUCCAAGACUAUAUGGAUAUAAGAGGAUUUGACUCCUCAUAAUUACAAUAAUAUUUAGUUUAAUGGGGAAACAAAAUUAAUAUAUAGUUGAAGAAUUUAAUUUUGUUUUCACUCAAAAGAUAUAUUUACUCAUUCAUGAUUUUAUUUUGAGUUAUUAGUAUUACUGUUUUUUUUUU